GAGAUAUAAUAGAUGCCCCCCAUAGGGGGACUCACAGCGAUUCUAGCUUCUGAACCAUCAGAUCUUCCUCACGAUGAAUCUCGGCCGUUCGUUUUCUUACCGUGUCAUAUAAAAGGGAGCAGCUCCCGGUGAAAACCCUAGCCGCACCCGUGCCCCUCCGUUUCUCCUCUUCAUAGCGUUCCUCGCUGGCGGCUGCCGAGCCUCCGCCUCGUUCCUCCUCUUCACCGCGCCUCCGCCUCCCACCUCUCUCCUCCGGUUCCCCCCUCUCCCUUGUCUCUCUCUGAUGGCGCCAGGCUGCCUCUGCUUGUCUCCCCCAAUCCCUGCCUCGUCUCUGUCCCUCUCCCCUACCCAAUCCCCUCCCGUGUUCGCCUCCCCAAUCCUCUCCCUUCACUCCAUCUCCCGGCGAGCCGCCUCCAGUCGCGCCCUCGCGCUAAAGCGCCUCGCGCUCGUGCGCCUCUCGCCCUCCUUCUCGCACACGCCUUCCCUUGGCAUCGGAGGGCAUGUGAGCACGCGAGCAGCAGCGGGGCACCAUGGCCUGGCGGCUGAUGCGGGAUGGAGGAGAAGCAGGCGGAGGAGGUGAAGCAGCAUAUGGAGGAAGAGGUGAACCGGAAGAGGAGGCAGAGCUCGCUGUGGAGGAGCUCGCAGGGAGCUGUAGACAAGAAUCAGCUUCCAUCCCGGUCCUCUCAGCCGACGGUCGUCCUGGCUCUUCCCCUUGGCAUAGACAGAGCGGUUCACCGCCGCAAAAAUCUAGGUGGGGGGCGGGCCACUGAUAGAGCUGCUGCUACUCUCUGCCUUUUCCUCUUCGCGGGAGGCGAGAGGAGCCACAGCUGGCUGUACGCCUGCCAGACGAGCUGGUGGUGUCCGGCCGGCCGGAGCAGCACAGGCUGUCGCUUGCAGUGCCGGCGCUUGGAGGAGUGGCUGGUGAGCUCCAUCCACCCUACAGGUGUCCUAUUUUUCUGUAUUUUCCUUGCAGCAAUAGAACCGUCACACUGGAGUUUGUUUGUUCUCUAUGCCAAGGUAUACCAGCUCAUCCUCUACAUUCAUUUCCGUCUGGUUUGGUUGAUUUUCCCUGAAAUUGUUUGUGUGGACAACACGCUCUAUUAUGUGUGAGAGCUACUGAUCCUUAAUGUAUACAUAAACAUGCAUGAAUCUGCUGCUAAUUUGAUACUCAAAGUUGCAUAUGCCAAAGUAUAUCUACAGAAUAAUUUUCCAGAUUUAUAAAUUGCACACUCACACCCGUAAAAAACAGAGUAGCAAGAUCGACAGUGUAACUAUGUAAAUCUCAAUUUAUGUGGACAGUACAUUUACGAUUAUGAUAUCGCCCAUCAACUACAAAAUAGCUAUUCCCUGCUUUUAAUCGCUAUUUGUUCUAGGUAGAAUCUCUAUUUUGUAGGAUGUAAAAGCAGAGUAGCAAGAUCGACAGUGCAACGAUGUAAAUCUGAAUUUAUGUGGACAGUACAUUUACGAUUAUGAUAUCGCCCAUCGACUUAUUUUUCUAGCUAUAGAAUAGCUAUUUUGUAAAUCUCAAGAUAUCCGGUGGCAUACCAUAGGAUGUCGCGGCAGAAUAUCUUGUGGCAGAUCUGCACCACACUUCAGUUCUCCGUCAAUUGUGUCCAUACCAUCCACCAUAUCAAUAUGGGAAUACCGCUGUAUGGUGUCAGCUCCUGGAAUUCCGCCGUCCCAAGGAUCUUUCAUGGUGACCAGAUGCCUUACUCGAGAGUUCAGUGCCAUCCAUCCAAUGCUCCAAGAAGAACUACCCCAAGUUCAUCGCAAAGGUACUGAACUGAAUGAGGAUGACUGCAGUCGAAGUUUCAACCGUGCCUUGAGUUUGUCGGCGGUUGUCCUGCUCACUCGCAUCCUGGCUUCUGACGAGCAUUACUCAAUCCUAUUCUUCAUAUAGCACAACUGCCGAUAGGUGGAGCGUGUUGUACUGCUCCUUGCUUGAUUCCAGGUUGCUCCUUGUCAUGUUAAAAAAAAAAGGUUGCUCCUUGUCACUCUCAUCCCUGGAUUCAUUUUUCUAUGAGAUUUAGGGGCCAGGGUCAUGCUGGUUAAGAGUAUUGGGCACAAUUAAUUGGAAAUUGGUUUUGUAUGCAAAAUUCGAGGUUGGGUUAAUGCUGACACUGGUUCUUUCAGGUUUGUAUGUGCCGCAAGCUCCGGUACCAGCUGUUUGUUCAAUUUUCAUGUAUGUCUUUUGCCAAAGCAAUAGGAGAAAGGAAUCAAUUUGUCCUUUUUAGCUUGGUUCUGAGUUACUCUUUGUUUGGGCCAAUAUGUUUUGUGUGGUUCCAACUAUUAGAUUGCAUCUUGGACAUACACAAAAAUUCAUUUAAUAUACGUAUAUGUUCUGAUUCUAAAAAUCAACUAUUAGGUAUCAAAUGUGUAUGCUCUGCAACACAAUUUAUACAACAACUUGAUCAUACAAGGCAGUAGUGCAUAGAACAAUUUAUAACUAAGAGAUACUUUUUUUGUUGUAUGUGGCACUUUGGCCUGUCAUGUAGAAGUAGUAGCUUAUUCUACAUGAAGAUAACAAUGUCACCUCUUUUUCAGUAGUACUUUGGCCUGGCAACCUCCAAUAACUCUUACUUCUUACAUUUACUUGCAACAGUGCUCAUGCUUUUUCCUAUGUCGUACUACUAAAUUUUGCUGUGUUGAACAAAAUAUGGCAACUACGUUCAUAGAUAGUUGAUGCCUUGAUGGUACACUGGUUGUUCCCAAAGUGUAUAUGCCUUCUAAUCUGAAUCCAGUGUGUGAUGUGAAUAUUUAUAGAUGCUCCGUAUAUAGAAUGUCAUGGAUGAAUUGAUAAUAGAUUAUAUCACACUGGAGAUGACUAACUCAACUAUAUUUAGCCGCAAGGCAAAGGAAUCCAACAGGUAGAAAAAAAACAUAUUGCCAUGUGUAUUGUUAUUUUUUAUUGGAUUCUUACAGAUGUAGUUUACAUAUCGGUUAUUGGAUGAUGUCGAUAGUUUUCAUGUGCACUAGACUUUUAAUUCUUAGCCGAGUUCAGUUAACUACCAAAAUAAUUAUAUUUACCUGCAUUUUCUGUGUCUUCUUAUCUUCGAAGUGCUAUUCCUAAUUUGAAUAGAUUGAUGCUUAACAUAGUUUUAUACUAACUGUUUACACGUGCAAAAGGCAGGUGAUUCGCGGCAAGACGCGCCCCAAAAGCUUUUUUAAAAAACAAGUUUGUAUCUUCAUGGGAAUACUACGCAGUUUUAGGAAUAAAUCACAAGACAAAUAAAUGAGUAAUCUGUUAGAUGUUUCUUCUGCAGUAGUCUUGAAACUUCUAACAAGAUUCAACAAGCAUGUACAUGCUAAACUAGAAAUUAGCUAUAUAAUUACUUUGUUAUGCAUACCUACUCUGUGGUAGUCUCAUUUUGGAAAAAAAAUUAAAAAUUGAGAUGUGCGUAAUUACUCGCUAUAGCCCAUGACCCACUGAUGUUGAGAGAGAGAGAGAGAGAGAGAGAUGUUAUGCAGACCACAUGGAUAAGGUUGUAGAGUAGGACUAUAUCUCAUGGGUUCUUCCUUAUUUUUCACUAUUUGAUAGUGUUUUCCCUGCUUAUUAAAUAGAUAUUACACAUCCAACUCCUGAUCUCACGGGAUACAUUACUGAAGGACAGAUAUACAUUUACAGACAGCUCCAUAACAGAUGGGUGCUUUUGUUUGUUCUCUUGUUAGUUAGCAAAGGCCACCUCAUCAAAUAGUAAUUUACUAAUAUGCAAUUUUGAGCAUAUAUCUACUAGCGCUCCCAAAUAGCUAAGAGUGAAUUUCCAAUUCAGUGUAGCAUGUGUUUUGAAUUUCACUAAUAUUGGCUGGUGACUAGGUCGGGUGGAUUGAGAAUCCCAAUAAUAAGUUCCAUUCAGAAAAUGUCAGCUUUGUCAAAAUGGCAUUUUCUUAUAAAAAACACUACCGACUCCAUUAUCAUUAUGCUUCAGUUAUGUGCCUCCAUGGUUUCAAGAAAUAAGUUUUGUGCUUCAGAUAAACUAAUGCUAUCAUAUCUCAUGUGUGUCUUAUUGAAAAUAACAAUGAGAGUUGGCAAAGGUUAAUAUAAUUGUUCCUGAACCUCAAGGGACAACAUUAAGAUUUGUAUCUAAUAACUGGUUGAUAUUUAGAUGGAUGACUAUUGUGAAAUGUACCUAAUAUUUUCCAAGUUCCUUUUCUCCAUUUUCUCAAGCUGCAACAAAAUGUUGAUAUUUAUACUAGGAAGAGUGCUUCUAUUUUUUUCAUCAUUACGUCCAUCCGUGCACCAAAAGAAUGCUAUUGGUUCUCUGUUCUUGGACAAGCGGUAGAAGAAAGUGAAACGAGAAUUGCCAUUUUAUUCUUUGACCGCAGAAUACCUGUAGUUUGCUUCUGUAAGAUUUUGAAAUGUUUGUACUAUUAUUUUUAUAAGUUUUAAUUGUAGUUAUAUUUUAUUGUACUUUUUUUACCUUUCCCUUCAAUAACUGGUAAAAUCUUAAGUGGAGAAAUUUCGUAUAGAGAGGAACGGAAGAACUUCCUUACUCGAAUCAACAUGGAUGAAAAUGCAGUGUCUGAACUUUUUUAGCAGUGCAAAUGACAUACUAGAAAUGUGCCCUUGGGAAUCUUAUUGUGGGCAGACAGGUUUGCUGAAAUUUGGAAUUAUGUUCUUCCAUGUGUACAUUCAUUUUGGAAAUACUUUUCCUAUGUAUGUAUCCAUAUUUUGUAAUUGUUCCUCUGCAGUUCGUGGGAUGAUGUAUUAUAGGAAGGCCCUUAUAUUGCAAAGUUCUGGAGAGAAUGCAUUCUGAAGAUAUUUCUACUAGCUUCCUUGUGGGACACAUAAAUUAUAUAUUUUAACAACGUGCAUGUAACAUUAUUUUCUGAUGUUUUUCUUUGCUACACCACGAAUCUGCAUUUGAUAUGGCUGGUCUGGCUGACACACAUUUUGAGUACACCCCAGAAGCACAAGCACAUGGUGAUUUGAAGUUUACGGAUAUGUUGUGGUUAUUUGCCAAAUUUAUGGAUUACACGAAGGGGAAGGGAAACAAGAAGCUGCUAAUAUAGCCCUUCUAAUGCAAAGAAAUGAAGCUCUCAGGAUUGCUUAUAUUGAUGUUUUCGAGAUCAUAAAAAAUGGAAAUCCUAGCACUGAGUAUUACUCGAAGCUUGUUAAAGCUGGCAUCCAUGGAAAGGACAAGAUCUUACGCCUGAUAUUAUUUCCUCACGCCAAAUUUCACGUUUACCCAGCGAUAGUACAUGGAAUUGUGCCAGAAAAAGAUAUUAAAUGAGUACUACUAUGCUUGUGUCAAAAAGAAGCAAGACUGGUGAAUGUCUCUGCAACAAGUGACCGAAUAAUGAAGUAAAACUAAGCAGCUUAGCAAGAGCUGGAUUACUUGGUACAUGAUGUGUCACGACCUUCCAAUCAGAUUAUUAACAAUAUAAUUCAAGAAACGGAUCGCAUGGAGAGUCUGACUUCGAUAGUAAUGUCAAUUCAAUUCUGGUUGAAGUAGACAAAGCUUCUUCUGACCUUGAGCAGUUCACCUUUCAAGCAACCCAAUUUAUGUGUGUAAACCUUAUGUAUAUAGAUACAUGUGUUCUACUUUAGAACCAAAUAGUAUAUGUAUAUACAUGUGUUUCCCCACUUGCUCCGCAUCUACUUAACAAGUGACUACUCAUAGAACUGCUCGGCUUUUGUCUACCAAGCUUUCGUCUACUUUGCUC
Long non-coding RNA from Lolium perenne, 5664 nucleotides. RefSeq lists it as uncharacterized. The record is from RefSeq and is a predicted model, not a curated record. Lineage: Eukaryota; Viridiplantae; Streptophyta; Magnoliopsida; Poales; Poaceae.